AUUCUUUUUUUUUUUUUUCUUUCAGCCAUUUCUUUUUAUUUACAGUUUGUGUUCAAUGCAAAUCAAUUCCAUAAGAAGUUACUAUGAAUCAAAGCGUAAAUACACAAACACAAUAUACAAUCCAAAAUAGAUGUACAGCAUUCUGGAAUAAAGCAAAAGAGUGUUCAUUCACACACACAGUAGCUUCAAAACGGUUCGAUCUGUUUGUUCUCAUGUAGUUUUGUAAAGAUGGAAAAAAAGGACUUUGGUCAUCAAGACUACUGUGGCCAUAUUAGAUUACUGGAACAUCUAAGCAUCAGUGUGUGACCAUGCGAACAAAAGACUUCGGGGAGUGUCUAUUUUUAAAAAGGUUUCUGUGUUUCGAGGCAGUUGUAAAAGAUUUACUGCAGAAUCAAGCCCACUUUUAGGCUUAGGACCAGGUUCUAACUAUCUAAAAAUAUUGACUGAUAACAAAAAGUAUUCCAAAUGUGGCUAUUCUGAUCCAUAGUUGUUUUUUAAAGAAAAAAAAGUAUAUACAGAAAGAGUAUAAAAGUUUGUGAAUUUAAUGCAAAUUAGCUUCCAGUCUUCACUUCCCAAAUAUAAAUAGAAUCAUGGAAGCUUUUUAUAUUACCUGUUUUAUGGCCUUAUAGAAUUAAUGAACCAAAUGAAAACUGAAUCUCCAUUCCACAAUCACAUCCUUUAUUUCUAUUCUUAUUUUCAAGGUAGUAUUAAGUGUCCAUAUUUCUCAAGCCACAUUCAAGGAAAUCAUGUCUUAACUAUUUUGGAUGUUGCCUCUCCUUCAUCUUGUACAUGAAACUCCAGCAGAUUUAAUAUUGGCAUCCAUCAUCUAGUCAAACCUCUCACAUGUUCUUCAAAUCAAUCAAAUUUGGGAUUCUCAACAUUUUCUGUGUCAAUAAAAGGUGUGGAAUUAG
RNAcentral lists this long non-coding RNA (911 nucleotides) under Homo sapiens (human). Its description in RNAcentral is "HSALNT0288553". Lineage: Eukaryota; Metazoa; Chordata; Mammalia; Primates; Hominidae. The record is from RNAcentral.